UACGGAGGGUGCAAGCAUUGAUCGGAAUUACUGGGCGUAAAGGGCGCGUAGGCGGCUAUGAAAGUCAGAUGUGAAAUUCCGGGGCUCAACCCCGGAGCUGCAUUUGAAACUUCAUGGCUAGAGGUUAGUUAGGGAAAACGGAAUUCCACGUGUAGCGGUGAAAUGCGUAGAUAUGUGGAAGAACACCAGUGGUGAAGACGGUUUUCUGGGCCAUACCUGACGCUGAGGCGCGAAAGCAUGGGGAGCAAACAGG
This 253-nucleotide ribosomal RNA is filed under the name uncultured bacterium. Its description in RNAcentral is "partial 16S ribosomal RNA". It matches the Rfam family "Bacterial small subunit ribosomal RNA", at positions 524 to 776 of the family's 1533-position model. The record is from RNAcentral.